GCCGAGGUGGUGAAAUGGCAGACACGCCAGACUUAGGAUCUGGUGCCCUAAAGGCGUGCGGGUUCAAGUCCCGCCCUCGGCA
Molecule: transfer RNA, 82 nt
Filed under: Pseudomonadota bacterium
Lineage: Bacteria; Pseudomonadati; Pseudomonadota
Also listed under: 2 other names
Description: tRNA-Leu
Rfam family: tRNA
About the family: Transfer RNA (tRNA) molecules are approximately 80 nucleotides in length. Their secondary structure includes four short double-helical elements and three loops (D, anti-codon, and T loops).
Source: RNAcentral